CAAGUCGAGCGAACAGACGAGGAGCUUGCUUCUCUGACGUUAGCGGCGGACGGGUGAGUAACACGUGGAUAACCUACCUAUAAGACUGGGAUAACUUCGGGAAACCGGAGCUAAUACCGGAUAAUAUAUUGAACCGCAUGGUUCAAUAGUGAAAGACGGUUUUGCUGUCACUUAUAGAUGGAUCCGCGCCGCAUUAGCUAGUUGGUAAGGUAACGGCUUACCAAGGCAACGAUGCGUAGCCGACCUGAGAGGGUGAUCGGCCACACUGGAACUGAGACACGGUCCAGACUCCUACGGGAGGCAGCAGUAGGGAAUCUUCCGCAAUGGGCGAAAGCCUGACGGAGCAACGCCGCGUGAGUGAUGAAGGUCUUCGGAUCGCAAAACUCUGUUAUUAGGGAAGAACAAAUGUGUAAGUAACUAUGCACGUCUUGACGGUACCUAAUCAGAAAGCCACGGCUAACUACGUGCCAGCAGCCGCGGUAAUACGUAGGUGGCAAGCGUUAUCCGGAAUUAUUGGGCGUAAAGCGCGCGUAGGCGGUUUUUUAAGUCUGAUGUGAAAGCCCACGGCUCAACCGUGGAGGGUCAUUGGAAACUGGAAAACUUGAGUGCAGAAGAGGAAAGUGGAAUUCCAUGUGUAGCGGUGAAAUGCGCAGAGAUAUGGAGGAACACCAGUGGCGAAGGCGACUUUCUGGUC
This 694-nucleotide ribosomal RNA is filed under the name uncultured Staphylococcus sp. Its description in RNAcentral is "bacterial SSU rRNA". It matches the Rfam family "Bacterial small subunit ribosomal RNA", at positions 58 to 734 of the family's 1533-position model. The record is from RNAcentral. Lineage: Bacteria; Bacillati; Bacillota; Bacilli; Caryophanales; Staphylococcaceae.